This 848-nucleotide ribosomal RNA is filed under the name uncultured bacterium. RNAcentral's name for it is "bacterial SSU rRNA". It matches the Rfam family "Bacterial small subunit ribosomal RNA", at positions 51 to 890 of the family's 1533-position model. The record is from RNAcentral.
ACACAUGCAAGUCGAGGGGCAGCAUUUUAGUUUGCUUGCAAACUAAAGAUGGCGACCGGCGCACGGGUGAGUAACACGUAUCCAACCUGCCGAUAACUCGGGGAUAGCCUUUCGAAAGAAAGAUUAAUAUCCGAUAGUAUAUUAAAACCGCAUGGUUUUACUAUUAAAGAAUUUCGGUUAUCGAUGGGGAUGCGUUCCAUUAGUUUGUUGGCGGGGUAACGGCCCACCAAGACUACGAUGGAUAGGGGUUCUGAGAGGAAGGUCCCCCACAUUGGAACUGAGACACGGUCCAAACUCCUACGGGAGGCAGCAGUGAGGAAUAUUGGUCAAUGGACGAGAGUCUGAACCAGCCAAGUAGCGUGAAGGAUGACUGCCCUAUGGGUUGUAAACUUCUUUUAUAUGGGAAUAAAGUAUUCCACGUGUGGAAUUUUGUAUGUACCAUAUGAAUAAGGAUCGGCUAACUCCGUGCCAGCAGCCGCGGUAAUACGGAGGAUCCGAGCGUUAUCCGGAUUUAUUGGGUUUAAAGGGAGCGUAGGUGGAUUGUUAAGUCAGUUGUGAAAGUUUGCGGCUCAACCGUAAAAUUGCAGUUGAAACUGGCAGUCUUGAGUACAGUAGAGGUGGGCGGAAUUCGUGGUGUAGCGGUGAAAUGCUUAGAUAUCACGAAGAACUCCGAUUGCGAAGGCAGCUCACUAGACUGCAACUGACACUGAUGCUCGAAAGUGUGGGUAUCAAACAGGAUUAGAUACCCUGGUAGUCCACACAGUAAACGAUGAAUACUCGCUGUUUGCGAUAUACAGUAAGCGGCCAAGCGAAAGCAUUAAGUAUUCCACCUGGGGAGUACGCCGGCA